GAGUAAUGUCUGGGAAACUGCCUGAUGGAGGGGGAUAACUACUGGAAACGGUAGCUAAUACCGCAUAACGUCGCAAGACCAAAGAGGGGGACCUUCGGGCCUCUUGCCAUCGGAUGUGCCCAGAUGGGAUUAGCUAGUAGGUGGGGUAAAGGCUCACCUAGGCGACGAUCCCUAGCUGGUCUGAGAGGAUGACCAGCCACACUGGAACUGAGACACGGUCCAGACUCCUACGGGAGGCAGCAGUGGGGAAUAUUGCACAAUGGGCGCAAGCCUGAUGCAGCCAUGCCGCGUGUAUGAAGAAGGCCUUCGGGUUGUAAAGUACUUUCAGCGGGGAGGAAGGGAGUAAAGUUAAUACCUUUGCUCAUUGACGUUACCCGCAGAAGAAGCACCGGCUAACUCCGUGCCAGCAGCCGCGGUAAUACGGAGGGUGCAAGCGUUAAUCGGAAUUACUGGGCGUAAAGCGCACGCAGGCGGUUUGUUAAGUCAGAUGUGAAAUCCCCGGGCUCAACCUGGGAACUGCAUCUGAUACUGGCAAGCUUGAGUCUCGUAGAGGGGGGUAGAAUUCCAGGU
Molecule: ribosomal RNA, 570 nt
Filed under: Escherichia coli
Lineage: Bacteria; Pseudomonadati; Pseudomonadota; Gammaproteobacteria; Enterobacterales; Enterobacteriaceae
Description: bacterial SSU rRNA
Rfam family: Bacterial small subunit ribosomal RNA
Source: RNAcentral